RNAcentral lists this ribosomal RNA (542 nucleotides) under proteobacterium MS-B-81. RNAcentral describes it as "bacterial SSU rRNA". It matches the Rfam family "Bacterial small subunit ribosomal RNA", at positions 150 to 725 of the family's 1533-position model. The record is from RNAcentral. Lineage: Bacteria; Pseudomonadati; Pseudomonadota.
GAGGAAACUUGUGCUAAUACCGGAUAAGUCUUUACGGAGAAAGCUUUAUGCACCAUUGGAUGAGCCCGCACUUGAUUAGUUUGUUGGUGGGGUAAUGGCCUACCAAGACUGUGAUCAAUAGCUGAUUUGAGAGGAUGAUCAGCCACAUUGGGACUGAGACACGGCCCAAACUCAUACGGGAGGCAGCAGUGGGGAAUCUUGCACAAUGGAGGAAACUCUGAUGCAGCGAUGCCGCGUGAGUGAAGAAGGCCCUUGGGUUGUAAAGCUCUUUCGUCGGGGAAGAAAAUGACUGUACCCGAAUAAGAAGGUCCGGCUAACUUCGUGCCAGCAGCCGCGGUAAUACGAAGGGACCUAGCGUAGUUCGGAAUUACUGGGCUUAAAGAGUUCGUAGGUGGUUGAAAAAGUUAGUGGUGAAAUCCCAGAGCUUAACUCUGGAACUGCCAUUAAAACUUUUCAGCUAGAGUAUGAUAGAGGAAAGCAGAAUUUCUAGUGUAGAGGUGAAAUUCGUAGAUAUUAGAAAGAAUACCAAUUGCGAAGGCAGC